This 305-nucleotide ribosomal RNA is filed under the name uncultured bacterium. Its description in RNAcentral is "bacterial SSU rRNA". It matches the Rfam family "Bacterial small subunit ribosomal RNA", at positions 338 to 640 of the family's 1533-position model. The record is from RNAcentral.
CCUACGGGACGCAGCAGUGAGGAAUAUUGGUCAAUGGUCGGGAGACUGAACCAGCCAAGCCGCGUGAGGGAUGAAGGUACAGAGUAUCGUAAACCUCUUUUGUCAGGGAACAAAGGCGGGGACGCGUCCCCGGAUGAGUGUACCUGAAGAAAAAGCAUCGGCUAACUCCGUGCCAGCAGCCGCGGUAAUACGGAGGAUGCGAGCGUUAUCCGGAUUUACUGGGUGUAAAGGGAGCGUAGACGGCGGAGCAAGUCAGAAGUGAAAACCCGGGGCUCAACCCUGGGAGUGCUUUUGAAAAUGUUUGG